CAUAUAUUUUGGAUUAUUUUUUUCUGUUUGGGAUGGGUUUAUAGGUGGAUGGGUUAUGCCUUAAAAAUAUCCUUCAUAAGACAAGCUUAGCCCUUAGAUUAGUGUCAUUAAGAUAGAUGGCUACAGAGGGAGAUACCAGAAUGACUCACAUUCAACUGAAAGAAAGGGUCGCAAGAUUGGUCCUUUGGAUAUUCCACUGAGGGAUAUUAGUAGAAGAUGCCGUGAUAAGGUACCGAAGCAGUGGUUAUUUUGAGAUUAAAACACUAUUCUGCGAAUGCAAUCCCUAUUUCACACCACAUCUUUCAGGAGCGAUUAGUGUUUCAUUUUGUUUGUAUGUAAAAUUGGAAAUUCUCCCUAGCAAUAUCUGAUUGUGACAUUCCAUUCAAUCAAUAUUUGAUGGUGACAUUCAUCAAUUUCAGGUUUAUGAAUUCAUAGGAUUACCCCAACUUUAUUAUGCUGGCAGUCAUGGAAUGGGCAUAAUGGGCUAGGUCACACGCUCUGUGUCUAUUAGUAACCGUCUAAAUUCAAUUAGAUCUACUGACAACAUGGGACUUCUAAUGGAGGUUUGGGUGCAAAUUUCUCUAUUGAUUUAUAGGGUAAGGAGGUUAAUCUAUUCCAACCUACUAGCGAAUUUAUACCCAUGAUCAAUGAGGGUUUUUGUUCCCUCAUUGAAGAGACGAAAGGAAUAGAAGGCACAAAGGUUGAGAACAAUAAGUUUUGCGUCUCUAUACAUUAACGACUUGUAGGUGAGAAUAACUGGACUACUGUUGCACGAUGUGUCCACGACAUCCUAAAAGACUAUCCACGCCUAUGACUAACACAUGGGCAGGAGUGAAAAUUUCUAUUCAAGGAGAAAAUCAAAAUACAAGGAUAAUACAGAUCCAAACACAAGAGUAUGUGUAAAAUUGCAGAGGAAUCCAGUCCUUUAUCUACUGAGAAGAUAACACUAGCCAUUGGUGCACUGUGUAUGGUAAGAAACUCCAUAUUCUGUUGUUUUGUCAUGUUCUACCCUAAAAUAAUGCAUUUUGUGAGAGAGAGAGAGAGAGAG
This is a long non-coding RNA of Magnolia sinica, 1048 nucleotides long. RefSeq lists it as uncharacterized. Lineage: Eukaryota; Viridiplantae; Streptophyta; Magnoliopsida; Magnoliales; Magnoliaceae. The record is from RefSeq and is a predicted model, not a curated record. The transcript has 6 exons.